AUUGAACGCUGGCGGCAGGCCUAACACAUGCAAGUCGAGCGGAUGGAGGGAGCUUGCUCCUGGAUUCAGCGGCGGACGGGUGAGUAAUGCCUAGGAAUCUGCCUGGUAGUGGGGGAUAACGUCCGGAAACGGGCGCUAAUACCGCAUACGUCCUGAGGGAGAAAGUGGGGGAUCUUCGGACCUCACGCUAUCAGAUGAGCCUAGGUCGGAUUAGCUAGUUGGUGAGGUAAAGGCCUACCAAGGCGACGAUCCGUAACUGGUCUGAGAGGAUGAUCAGUCACACUGGAACUGAGACACGGUCCAGACUCCUACGGGAGGCAGCAGUGGGGAAUAUUGGACAAUGGGCGAAAGCCUGAUCCAGCCAUGCCGCGUGUGUGAAGAAGGUCUUCGGAUUGUAAAGCACUUUAAGUUGGGAGGAAGGGCAGUAAGUUAAUACCUUGCUGUUUUGACGUUACCAACAGAAUAAGCACCGGCUAACUUCGUG
RNAcentral lists this ribosomal RNA (484 nucleotides) under uncultured bacterium. RNAcentral's name for it is "partial 16S ribosomal RNA". It matches the Rfam family "Bacterial small subunit ribosomal RNA", at positions 30 to 507 of the family's 1533-position model. The record is from RNAcentral.